Molecule: long non-coding RNA, 1774 nt
Organism: Lycium ferocissimum
Lineage: Eukaryota; Viridiplantae; Streptophyta; Magnoliopsida; Solanales; Solanaceae
Exons: 3
Source: RefSeq, a predicted model, not a curated record
GUUUAGGAGUCCUAAUUUUGCUUCUUUUUUCUUUUUUCAGGCUUCUUUCGCCGCCUAAAAUUUAGGAUUUCAAUCAAUUAGAAUUAUUUUUUGUACAAAUCCUUUUCUUACUUGCAUUAAAUAGCACAAUUCAAAUACCUCGCAUGUUAGCAGUCGAGAGAGGUCUUCUUCUUCUUUUCUCACCCACAUAACAUGGAGACAAAGACCUUCAUCUUGGUACUUGGAAGCACCCCGGAAGGAAGAGGCUGGGAUUGGUUUUUCGUGGCUCCUGUUCGGCUUUGAGGUAGGUUACGGUUUACCAUGUUAGUGUAACGACCUGUUAGGUUGUUUUGGUUGUUCUCUCAUUUUUGCCUAUUUUGACCUUUUGAACCCGCCCCUUUGCUUGUUUUAGAUUGUUGUGUAGUGGGUGUGGUUGGCACAAUUCCCGAGGUAGUUGAAAUCUCUUAAGUUAGAAAUUUUCUAAGUUAAAAGAAUUCUUAGGCGUUGGGCUGACUUUAAGCAUCAUCGGGGUUUUUUGUGUCAUUUUGGAAAUUUCGUUAGUUCCAUCAGCUUCGAAACGUCGAAUAUAGGCUGUUUUAGUGUUUGGUUCAGUUCCCAAAGUCCUUAGGGGCAUUUUGGUCAUUUGGUUGGGAAGUUGGUUUUUGCCCGUUCGGGUUUGACUUGGUCAACGAGACCUCUUUUGGGAAUUCCGAGUGCGAGAGUGAGUUCUUAGCGCGUUCUUACAUGUGUCAGCAUAUUUGGUUUGUGUCGGGGAGGUUCCGGGAGAGUCUCGGGAUUUCGGUUGAGAGAGUCAAAAACCAAAUUUUUUUGGUUCUGGUGUUCGCGCAGGUUUGAAGGAGGUCCCGCCCCUGCAUACUUGCUCCAGCGAGAGGAGGCCCGCAGGAGCGAAGGAUAGCUGGGUUGGCCUUAGUCCGCCCCUGCGAAAAUUUUCCCGCAGGUGCGUGUGCGCAGCCGCGAGCUGAUCUCCGCCGCUACGAGCUUGGGAUAUUUUGUGGGAGUGUGCCGUGGCGAGGUCUAUUCCGCUGGUGCGAACUUGGGUGUGCAGGUGCGCAAUUCGCUGAGCAGAAUGUGGUCCUUUUAAUGUCUUCAGAUUUUGGGAAGGAUUGUAAUAACUAUUUAAGUAUUUUUAUUUUAAGAUUGUUAAGACUUGAAAUUGACUUGUAUGCUUAUUUCCGCUUAUUUUGGGCUGUUAAAGGUUGGUGUUGGCUUACAAGUGCGGUGGGACUUGGUAAAUUGGGUCGUGACAAAUUAGUAUCAGAGCCCUAGGCUAAUCGAUCUCACUGAUACAAGGACAUUGUCUAAUAGAGUCUCGCGGAUGGGUAGGAAGAGCUACGUAUCUAUCUUUAAGAGGCUAUAGGACAUAUAGGAAAUUUUCAUUCUUUCAUUCCUCAUCGGGCGUGUUUCAUUCGAUUAAGGUUUAAACUUCAUUGUUCUAAUCUAUCACUGAUGGUGAGGACACGUUCUCGACAUGCGAGCAGCUAGAUGUGACGACGCCUGGUAUGGUUCGAGACGUGCAACCGUGAUAGGGAUAUGUGAUCAACCUCAGGUUUCAGUUAUGAUUUGAAGACUCGAUAGAGUAGGGUUAUGAAUCAGAUUCUCGGGUUUGGCGACAUCCCUAUGAAAUGGGAGUCGAGAAAGCGCAUUUAUGGUAUAUCAAGCGAUUAGAAGAGAUCAUCGAUUCUAAAAUGGUACGGUUAGCGGAAUAACCAUGUGAUAAGUGUUGUGGCUUCGAAGACUACGAUCAAAGGGUUUCAUCAUGACUUAAAGGUUUCUU